GAUCCUACGGGGGGCAGCAGUAGGGAAUCUUCCACAAUGGGCGAAAGCCUGAUGGAGCAACGCCGCGUGGGUGAAGAAGGUCUUCGGAUCGUAAAACCCUGUUGUUAGAGAAGAAAGAGGGUGAGAGUAACUGUUCACGUUUCGACGGUAUCUAACCAGAAAGCCACGGCUAACUACGUGCCAGCAGCCGCGGUAAUAAGUAGGUGGCAAGAGUUAUCCGGAUUUAUUGGGCGUAAAGGGAAAGCAGGCGGGCUUUUAAGUCUGAUGUGAAAGCAUUCGGGUUAACCGGAGUAG
Molecule: ribosomal RNA, 294 nt
Filed under: uncultured bacterium
Lineage: Bacteria
Description: partial 16S ribosomal RNA
Rfam family: Bacterial small subunit ribosomal RNA
Source: RNAcentral